UAUAUUAAUAUCUUGGAAUUUCGAAGAAAGAAAAAUAAAUAAUAUAAUUUUCGAUAUUUUCCAAGAAUUUGUAUGCGUCGCUGAUUCGCGUGUAAAAUGAAAAAAAAGGAAGAGAAAAGGAAAGAAAAUAAAAGAAAAAAAAAAAAGAAAGAAAGAAACAAGAAAAUAACAUCACCAGGGAUGAGCAAUGACGAGCGAGGUCCCCUCGACGAUGAUAAUGCGUUGACUCAUGCUACUUGGAAUGACGACACUUGUCCGUCUUUCAACGGACUUGUACUCCUUACGUGAUGUAGCUCGACGAAUGGCCGGACGAAGUAGAGCGAGACGAAACAGUCGGCCAUUUAAAAAAUCGAAUACGAAGAAAGAAUCUAAUAUUUCGCACGUUGUCUAUUUAUUUAUGCGUAACGAGUGACUAGAGACGUAAACGGACGUAGAGAAAGAAAGAGAGAGAGAGAGAGAUGGAGAAAGGAAAAAACAAUAACAAAAAAAAAUGAGAACGUAUCUGACAAGAGCGCAGAUAGCUGUAAAAUAAAAUGGUAUUUAUUUAAAAUCCGUAGAAUGACACAUCGAAUUUGAGUUAAUUUCAAACACGAAAUCACGACGAGGCGAUCAACGACAAGAGAGGUCACGUCGAAGACGUUUCGAAGAAAACUGAGAAGUUCGAACUAACCGAAAGGGAUCGAAUCUUUCCGAAGGACGUUCGAGAAACGACGAAAGAACGAGAGAAAUAGGAAGAGAGAGAGAGAGAGAGAGAAAGUAAGGAGUGGGAUAAAUGAGAAAGGCAUCGUACCGUGAUCGAUAGAGAACCGGGUUGGUUCGAGUUUCAAGGGAGUUCGAAAAGACAAAGAAGGAAAGAUAGAGAUAGACAGAAGGAGAGAGAAAAAGAGAGAGAGAGAAUAGACACCAUUGGAAUACAAAACGUAGUAAAAAACGAGGAACAUUCUACUUAACCUCAUCGUAAGUGCGAAAGGGACAAAAAGAAAGCAUGAAUGAAAAACGGUUGACCUGUUCUUAUCGGAGAAUAAAAAAGAAGGGGAAGAAGAACAAAAAAAAUAAUAACAAAAAAAGAAACAGAAAAAGGAAAAUAAAAAGGAAAUAUAUACGGGGAAAAAUAGAAGAAGAAAAUGAAGAAGAAAAAAAUAAACGAGCACGUUAUUUUAAUGAGUGGCACGCGUGAGAUGAUGAAGGAUUUUUAGAAAAUGAAAAUAAAAAAGAAAAAGAAAAAAAAA
Molecule: long non-coding RNA, 1229 nt
Organism: Vespula vulgaris
Lineage: Eukaryota; Metazoa; Arthropoda; Insecta; Hymenoptera; Vespidae
Exons: 2
Source: RefSeq, a predicted model, not a curated record